AUACUUACUGGCAGGGGAGAUACCAUGAUGCAAAGGUGGUUUUCCCAGGGCAAGGCUUAUCUAUUGCACUCCGGAUGUGCUGACCCCUGUGAAUAAAAAUAUAUAUAUUUAAAAAAAA
Molecule: small nuclear RNA, 118 nt
Filed under: Saimiri boliviensis boliviensis (Bolivian squirrel monkey)
Lineage: Eukaryota; Metazoa; Chordata; Mammalia; Primates; Cebidae
Description: U1 spliceosomal RNA (ENSSBOG00000018763.1)
Rfam family: U1 spliceosomal RNA
About the family: U1 is a small nuclear RNA (snRNA) component of the spliceosome (involved in pre-mRNA splicing). Its 5' end forms complementary base pairs with the 5' splice junction, thus defining the 5' donor site of an intron.
Source: RNAcentral